Molecule: ribosomal RNA, 567 nt
Filed under: uncultured marine eukaryote
Lineage: Eukaryota
Description: bacterial SSU rRNA
Rfam family: Eukaryotic small subunit ribosomal RNA
Source: RNAcentral
UCGCAGUUAAAAGCUCGUAGUUGGAUUUCUGCGGGGGCGGGGCGGCCGGAUGCUUAUAGCAUCUCGAGCUAGCACUUCCCCCGCAUCCUGCCGCGAACCGUGCUACCAUUAGUUUGGUGGCGCUGGGGAUCGGCUCGUUUACUUUGAGAAAAAUAGAGUGUUCAAAGCAGGCCACACGCCUUGAAUAAGUUAGCAUGGAAUAAUGAUAAAGGACUUCGGUUCUACUUUGUUGGUGUUCGGGACUGAAGUAAUGAUUGAUAGGGACAGUUGGGGCGGUCAGUAUUCCAAAGCGAGAGGUGAAAUUCUUAGACCUUCGGAAGACUAACAGCUGCGAAAGCGUUCCGCGAGGAUGUUCCCUUUGAUCAAGAACGAAAGUUGGGGGAUCGAAGACGAUCAGAUACCGUCGUAGUCUCAACUAUAAACUAUACCAGCUAGGGAUCGGCCAACGUUUAAUUAUUCGACUUGGUCGGCACCUUAUGAGAAAUCAAAGCAUCUGGGUUCCGGGGGGAGUAUGGUCGCAAGGCUGAAACUUAAAGGAAUUGACGGAAGGGCACCACCAGCCGUGGA